CUUAUAGUUCUGGUGGGUAGAAGACCCAAAGAGCUUGGUGUCAGCAUCUUGAAGUGGGACCUCAGACUGUGUCCCAGGGCAGAGAGCCAGCCAGCUCACGCAGUGACUUCAGCUAUAACGACCCACUGUCCUGAGGACUAACGGAGGCACACCAGAUCUGACCCACUCAUGAGAAAGCAGUGAUCCGUUUAUGAGAGAUACACCUGACAGUCCAAGGAGCUGGAAUGCACAUCAAACAAAGCAGGCAGAAGCGGGCGUUUCAUCAAGCCAAACCAGCACCGCAAGCCUCCCACUGCCGCCGUGGGGAGUUUCCGAAGACCAGAGAAGCACGGGCCAGUUAGAGGCUGCCAAAUUCAAGACAGCCGGUUCCCUCGGAGGCUGCCAGCCACUCUUCCUGCCAACAAGACCUGGAAACGGCCUUACCACACAGCUCCUGGGUUCCCCUUACUUUUUCCACUGCGAAUGUAGCCUGAUUAGAGCGAGCGUGCAGAAGCACUAGAGGCGUACAUUCAGAAAACAUAUUUUGAACAAACUUUAUCUUUCUGAUCUUCAUUUUCUUGUUGUGAGAACGGGGAGGCAGACUAGAUCAGAGCUUCUCAUCCCUGGGUGCUCACAAAACCAUCCGGGAGCUUUAAAAAUGCAUACUUCUGGGCCCUUUACCGACCAAUUAAACCAGAACCUCUAAGUAUUUUUCAAAAACUCCCUAGAUGUUUCUAAUAGAUGCUGCUAGAUGCUGCCUGUGGUUAUUUCUACAUCAAACAUUUAUUUGUGAUCCUUCAUAUAAAGUGCAAC
This 792-nucleotide long non-coding RNA is filed under the name Heterocephalus glaber (naked mole-rat). RNAcentral's name for it is "lncRNA (ENSHGLG00100037593.1)". Lineage: Eukaryota; Metazoa; Chordata; Mammalia; Rodentia; Bathyergidae. The record is from RNAcentral.